UACGGACAGAAAUUCUAAUGUUUUGAAGUUGAAGGAGACGGCGGAGACCAAGGGAUGAAAGAUAAAGUCGCAGGGAGGUGGCGGAGGAAGUGAAGGGUUGAGGUUGUAAAUGGAAAUCUCUUGGACAAAAUACGCGGAAGGGCGGAGGCGAUAGGAGAGUUCAUGGCGACGAUGCGGUGACAAUGGAGUUGUGGCGGUGGAGGACUAUGGACUCUGGCACGACAUUGGUGAGAGAGGAUGUUUAUUUGAAUUAAACCCCUUUCAAAUAUCAGAUUUUUACAUUAUUGUUUUUUUAAGUUAUCACGCAUAUAUAUAAAAAAAUUAGGUUUAAUAAUUCAAAUAUUUUUUAUUCUUCUAUUUUUGGGGACUUUUAUC
This 375-nucleotide long non-coding RNA is filed under the name Vigna radiata. Its description in RNAcentral is "long non-coding RNA (VRAD_LNC001445)". The record is from RNAcentral. Lineage: Eukaryota; Viridiplantae; Streptophyta; Magnoliopsida; Fabales; Fabaceae.